AGAGUUUGAUCAUGGCUCAGAAUCAACGCUGGCGGCGUGCCUAACACAUGCAAGUCGAACGCGAAAGGGGCUUCGGCCCUGAUUAGAGUGGCGAACGGGUGAGUAACACGUGGGUGACCUACCUUCGAAUGGGGGAUAACGUCCCGAAAGGGACGCUAAUACCGCAUAACAUCCUGCUUUUGAACAGGUGGAGAUCAAAGCCGGGGAUCGCAAGACCUGGCGUUUGAAGAGGGGCCCGCGUCUGAUUAGCUAGUUGGUGAGGUAACGGCCCACCAAGGCGACGAUCAGUAUCCGGCCUGAGAGGGCGGACGGACACACUGGGACUGAGACACGGCCCAGACUCCUACGGGAGGCAGCAGUGGGGAAUUGUUCGCAAUGGGCGCAAGCCUGACGACGCAACGCCGCGUGGAGGAUGAAGGUCUUCGGAUUGUAAACUCCUGUUGCUCGGGACGAAAAGCUUCGACCUAACACGUCGAAGUCUGACGGUACCGGGUGAGGAAGCCCCGGCUAACUCUGUGCCAGCAGCGGCGGUAAUUC
RNAcentral lists this ribosomal RNA (537 nucleotides) under uncultured bacterium. RNAcentral's name for it is "bacterial SSU rRNA". It matches the Rfam family "Bacterial small subunit ribosomal RNA", at positions 8 to 526 of the family's 1533-position model. The record is from RNAcentral.